AGCCUGCCGGCGAUGUGAUUCUUUUCUUCGGCUGGAGGCGGCGUCCGUCGGCCUCACGCCGGCAGUAGUUUUGGGAUUUUGCGGAGGCUCCGAGGUCAUCGGGGAUACGACGCCGCGACUGGUGGUGGUGGACGCGCGACGUGGAGCUGCCGCCCAUGGCGAUCCUCGCGCGCCGUCCCGUGCUCCACGUCCAGCACGACCAUGUGUUCGCGCGCGCCACCUGCUUCCCGUCUUCGUGUGUUGCCGGCGGUGGAACACGACGGCGGCCUUCGUCUCCUUCGGAGUGGCAGCAGCAUGACGAGCAGCACACGCGGCGUGGCGCUCUGACGCAGAGCUUGGCAUGCGCGGACGCGCUGCCGCGGUUGGCAUGCGCGUACGGUGCAGAAGUUCGAGCUAGCUUUCUCCGUUGUGAGCGACUUGCAUUUUUCUAUCUGGUACGAGCUGAUUGUUCCUCAUCCUUGAUUCUAAUUCAGUUCACCUUUGCUAUGUGAUAAUACUGUAGCUAGGAGAUUCUGAACCCGUUGGUGGUACUGAGGCUCUCCGGGAUCGUCAUGGGUGAGCCGGACCCCCAUGGCGACCACGGCCAACGAGUCUGGAUGCAUUGGUCAUGGUGUUCCUAGCCCUGGCAAGCAAAUCAGUUGGUGUGUCGCAUUUUCACUAGUAGUACCAUUUUGUUCUCAUGCUCUGAUUUGCUACUAGAUAACUUUGCGUUUUUAUUGCCUGAUAUGUUCUGAUUUGGAGGCACUGAUGGCAACUUAACAUUUGUUGUACAUGGAAAUUUUGCUAUGAUUUUUCGGAGGACAAAAAACAUGACAAAGUUAUAGACGUUUAAAAACAUGGCAAAUUGCCAUGGCAAUUUAAGAUGUCAAAAACAUUUGUUCAAAACUUGCCAUGGCAAAAAAGAUUGAUCCUUUGAAAUUUGUUUUGCCAUGGGGAUUAACUUAGAUGUUUUCUCCAUUUAAAAAAAUCUAUCUGUGUAGAGAGAACAUUUUUCACCACAUUUUUUAGAUGUGUUUUUGUCAUGGCAAAUUCACUAGAUGUUCCAUGGCAAAUUUCCUUUUUUCAAGACGAUGCAGAC
Molecule: long non-coding RNA, 1078 nt
Filed under: Triticum aestivum (bread wheat)
Lineage: Eukaryota; Viridiplantae; Streptophyta; Magnoliopsida; Poales; Poaceae
Description: long non-coding RNA (TAES_LNC001153)
Source: RNAcentral